This 448-nucleotide ribosomal RNA is filed under the name uncultured bacterium. RNAcentral describes it as "bacterial SSU rRNA". It matches the Rfam family "Bacterial small subunit ribosomal RNA", at positions 328 to 793 of the family's 1533-position model. The record is from RNAcentral.
CCGCCAGACUCCUACGGGAGGCAGCAGUGGGGAAUAUUGCACAAUGGGGGAAACCCUGAUGCAGCGACGCCGCGUGAGCGAUGAAGUAUUUCGGCAUGUAAAGCUCUAUCAGCAGGGAAGAAAAUGACGGUACCUGACUAAGAAGCCCCGGCUAACUACGUGCCAGCAGCCGCGGUAAUACGUAGGGGGCAAGCGUUAUCCGGAUUCACUGGGUGUAAAGGGAGCGUAGACGGCGACGCAAGUCUGGAGUGAAAGCCCGGGGCUCAACCCCGGGACUGCAUUGGGAACUGGCGUGCUGGAGUGCCGGAGGGGCAGGCGGAAUUCCUGGUGUAGCGGUGAAAUGCGUAGAUAUCAGGAGGGACACCGGUGGCGAAGGCGGCCUGCUGGACGGAUACUGACGCUGAGGUCCGAAAGCGUGGGGAGCGAACAGGAUUAGAUACCCUUGUAC